Small RNA from Sinorhizobium saheli, 89 nucleotides. It matches the Rfam family "Rhizobiales sRNA Atu_Ti3". The record is from Rfam. NCBI's taxonomy places the organism in Bacteria, Pseudomonadati, Pseudomonadota, Alphaproteobacteria, Hyphomicrobiales, Rhizobiaceae.
GGAUCUCUGUUCCGCUUGCUUCCGCCGAGCCGCAGCCUCCUCGACAGGAUAGGCGAAUUGCACACUGUAGUAGAGCUCCGGCUGCUCUU